Non-coding RNA from Musa acuminata subsp. malaccensis (wild Malaysian banana), 3070 nucleotides. The record is from RefSeq and is a predicted model, not a curated record. Lineage: Eukaryota; Viridiplantae; Streptophyta; Magnoliopsida; Zingiberales; Musaceae.
AUAAAUAUACAUCAACCGGCAGAGGAAGAAAGGAAGCUUCUUUAGAGAGGCUACUAUUUGCUCCGUCGACGUGCGAAGCGCCUUAAAAGAUCCAUCCCGACGCUUAAAGAGGGCAGCCGGAGAGGGAAGGGGGAAAUCCGAAACCCUAACCCGAACCCGAGAGAGAGAGAGAGAGAGAGAGAAUGGACGCCAUUAGGAAGCAGCUCGACGUGCUCAUGGGGGCCAACCGCAACGGGGACGUGAGGGAGGUGAGCCACAAGUACUACGACCGUGACGUCUGCCGCCUCUUCUUGGCCGGCCUCUGCCCGCACGACCUCUUCCAGCUCACGAAAAUGGAUAUGGGUCCUUGUCCGAAGAUUCACUCCUUGCAGCUGAGAAAGGAAUAUGAAGAGGCAAAAGUAAAAGGUGAUCAUAAUUUUCAUAGGGAACUUGAGGAUAUGAUAGAAAGACUUAUUGUUGAGUGUGAAAGGAAAAUUCAAAGGGCUCUAAAGCGACUUGAGGAUGAGGAUGCUACUGCUGCUGUAGCAAUAUCCGUAUCUAAGGUUACUCAGACACCUGAAGUCAUGGAACUGUCGAAACAGAUAAAGGAGAAACUAAAAGAAGCUGAUGUUUUUGAUUUCGAAGGAAAAACUGAUAGUAAAAUACGGGUUUUAGAAUUGGUGGAAGACCUCAAAGGCCAAAGAGCUGACAAGCAGUCGGUGCUUCUUCUCGAUGCCUUCAACAAAGACAGGGCUUCUUUGCCAUUGCCAAAUCAGAAUCCUUCUCAACCAGCAUCCUUGCCUGUUGUCGAUCCUCCAGAUCGUCAUACACAGGAAAUGAUCUAUGAAAAACUUAAGAAAGCAGAGGAUCUUGGUGAGAGGGGACUGAUAGAUGAAGCCCAGAAAGCUCUAGAAGAAGCAGAAACUCUGAAAAAGCUGGGUGCACGGCAAGAGCCAAUCCUAGAAUCAUCAAAGUAUAGUGUUGCUGACGUACGAAUAACAGAUCAGAAGUUGCGUGUAUGUGAUAUAUGUGGAGCAUUCUUGAGCGUCUAUGACAAUGAUCGUCGCUUGGCUGAUCAUUUUGGAGGAAAACUUCACCUUGGCUAUAUGCUAAUCCGUGAAAAACUAGCAGAACUCCAGGUGCUGGUAUAAUGUUUCGCAUUCUCCAGUAAAGAGUUACGAUUAUUUUUGGCAUCAUACAUUGUCAUGUGGGAGGGUCCCUUUGAAGUAGUGGACAUAUAUGGACUCAGAGAACUUCAUUCCUGUCCUCCGUCACGACAACUGCAAUCACUUAAGUCAAAGAAACUGUAAGCAGAUAAACAGUAUGUAGAGCAUAUUAAAAUUGGCAGCAUAGCAUUGUGUUUUUUCAUUUUGAUGUAACUGCUCACUUAUUCCUGACCUUGGUUCUUAUUUGUGAUUUUGGGUUGGAAACUAAGCAACAUUGCAACAGUUGUUUGGUAAAUUAUGAGCAAUUUUAACAAUAACUGUUUAUAUGAUUUGAAUGUUCGUUUUUAAGCAACUAAUUUGCCUAGUUAGCAAAGUUUUUGGAAUUUACAAUGUCAUAAUGUGAUCAUCUCAUGCAUAGGAAUUCUGGAAUAGUUAUCCCUUAAUGUUAUAUGUUCUUCCCCAGUGGAGUUUGUAGAUCAUUAAUUCACUGCUUCUCAUUCAUAUAUUACAUGACAUGACAUGGACAUGGUAUUUGUUUGCAUGCAUUACUAAUGAUUUUAUAUAUGAAUACAUGUUUUGUAAAAGUCAUGAUCAUCAUUCUUGUACUACAUGUAAAUUGUAAAGGAUUAAAAUCAUUCACUAAGUACCUCGUAUUCAUAUACCAAACAUUAAGGAGAUAUUCACAGUAAUAGUAAGAUCCAAGCAAAUAAUCCAUAUUGAUUUAACUCCUGCAAUAAUGACAUAUCAUUAAUAAAUCUAGAUGAUGCAUAUGCUGGUGUUAGACUGGUGUCGGACAUGAAUGCUCCAAGCAUUUGAUGUGGUUGUGAUGCAUUAUUUCUCAUUUCUGAUUGCAUCCUGAAUUUCUCGUCAAAUGUGUCCAAGGUUAUCUUAGAUGAUGGUGUUAUUAUGUGACUAGGAGAAAUUAAUUGUUUACUACUAUGUUAUCAAUUAUGUGCUGUAACCUUUGGUCAUUCUACUAUUCUUCCGAGAAUUCUUAAUUGUAGCUGAAAGUAAAUAUAAAGUGACACUCCCUGAAAGUGGUCAAUGUCAAAUUAUUUAGUUUAUGAAUGCCAUCCCAGAAGUCAUUUUCAUAGAAAUGGUUAGAUAAACUUCUAUAAUUUAUUUGCACUUUGAUGACUUUGGAACAUGGAGAAUUGAACUCUGUGGAGUGGACUAUAACCAUAGCUGUUUGUAGCCUGUGAAUUAUGUGAUAUGGCUACAGCUGCUUGUUUAUUUUUGAGAUUGGUGCAUCUUCACAAUCUAUUUUGCCAGGAAGAGAGGAACAAAAAACGAAAAGUUGAUCGAUUUGAAGAUGAUAGGAGGGUAAAAGAUCAAAGUAGGGAUCGUGAUAGGGCUGGAAGCAGGGAUCAAGGUGUAGGUAAAGAGGUUCAUGUUGAUAAUCGAUUUAGAGGCAGAGAAUUUGAUCGACGAAAUAAAGACCAUGAUCCACAUUAUGAUAGAGAUCUUAGAGACCAAAAUAGAGAUUCUGAUCAAUCCCGCAGUUAUGACUCAAGGAGCAGAAGGCGACGUUCUCGCUCAAGGGAUCAUGGUAGAGAUUAUGACCGUCAUAGGCGUCAUGGCAGGUGCUGAUAUAUUUCCAUCUGGAUUACUACGGGUAUCUGUCAUGGACCGAGAAGGUUAUAAUAAAUCAGCUUAAAUUACUCGAUUGCUUUGGAGGCGUUUGGAAGGAGGUUGUGAGUGGCUAUCUGUGGAAGGGAAUACAUUGGUGAUAUGAUACGAGAAUAUGUCUCUAAGCGUCACUGAAGAGAGAGAAAUGGCGUCUCCAAGCUAAAGAUCCUUUUCUAUUCCUUUUCCACUUCAUCAUCUUAAAGAACUAUAUUCACUAGACUUAGCUUGGUUUGGCUUGAAUCAAUUUGUUUGAUGAUUUAUCAAUUCUAAAUCAAAUCAGAAUUACAAAACUAUAA